RNAcentral lists this long non-coding RNA (323 nucleotides) under Elaeis guineensis (African oil palm). RNAcentral describes it as "long non-coding RNA (EGUI_LNC056335)". Lineage: Eukaryota; Viridiplantae; Streptophyta; Magnoliopsida; Arecales; Arecaceae. The record is from RNAcentral.
CUCAUAUAUAUUGAUCUUAUCAAAGAGUUUUAUUCUAAUCUAGUUUUCAUUGAUGGAGUUUUGAGGUCAAUUGUCAAGGGUGUCCAAAUUAUACUUAAUGCUCCUAGGCUAGGUAGACUCCUUCAGAUGCCCUGUGAAGGUAGCUGCCUAGAUAAGCUUCCAAGAACAGAAAUCAAGCUUAGGACCAUCAUAGGAAGAGAGGAUAUGGAGGGGUUUAUGAAAAUUGAGGCCAAGGAUUUGAGUGUAGAGAUGAGAUUGCUCCACCACAUGGUGUCCAAGAUUUUCUUUUUCAGAGGAAGAAGAUAUGAUUUGAUGACUGAUCG